RNAcentral lists this ribosomal RNA (253 nucleotides) under uncultured bacterium. RNAcentral's name for it is "partial 16S ribosomal RNA". It matches the Rfam family "Bacterial small subunit ribosomal RNA", at positions 524 to 776 of the family's 1533-position model. The record is from RNAcentral.
UACGUAGGGUCCGAGCGUUGUCCGGAAUUACUGGGCGCAAAGAGCUCGUAGGUGGUUUGUCGCGUUGUUCGUGAAAACUCACAGCUUAACUGUGGGCGUGCGGGCGAUACGGGCAGACUUGAGUACUGCAGGGGAGACUGGAAUUCCUGGUGUAGCGGUGGAAUGCGCAGAUAUCAGGAGGAACACCGGUGGCGAAGGCGGGUCUCUGGGCAGUAACUGACGCUGAGGAGCGAAAGCGUGGGGAGCGAACAGG